RNAcentral lists this ribosomal RNA (425 nucleotides) under uncultured prokaryote. RNAcentral's name for it is "bacterial SSU rRNA". It matches the Rfam family "Bacterial small subunit ribosomal RNA", at positions 355 to 796 of the family's 1533-position model. The record is from RNAcentral.
UCGAGAAUCUUCCGCAAUGGGCGAAAGCCUGACGGAGCGACGCCGCGUGAUGGACGAAGGCCCUCGGGUUGUAAACAUCUGUCGUAGGGGAGGAAAUUUUGACCGAUCCUAGGAGGAAGCACAGGCUAAGUUCGUGCCAGCAGCCGCGGUAAUACGAACUGUGCAAACGUUAUUCGGAAUCACUGGGCUUAAAGGGUGCGUAGGCGGGCAGGUAGGUCAGAUGUGAAAGCCCACGGCUCAACCGUGGAAUUGCGUUUGAAACCACUUGUCUUGAGGGGAUCAGAGGAGAGCGGAACUGAUGGUGGAGCGGUGAAAUGCGUUGAUAUCAUCAGGAACACCGGUGGCGAAAGCGGCUCUCUGGGAUCUUUCUGACGCUGAGGCACGAAAGCUAGGGGAGCGAACGGGAUUAGAUACCCCCGUAGUCC